Molecule: long non-coding RNA, 1065 nt
Organism: Engraulis encrasicolus (European anchovy)
Lineage: Eukaryota; Metazoa; Chordata; Actinopteri; Clupeiformes; Engraulidae
Exons: 6
Source: RefSeq, a predicted model, not a curated record
AUCAUCUGAAAAACUCCUCAUGACGCCAUAGCACCCAUUGAAAUAGAGUGUUUGGAAAAAAAACGAAAUCUUUUGGUCCAGUCUAGAGGGCGUAGUCAGAAGAAAACGGCAACCAAUAGAAGUAAUACUCAUCAUCACUUCUAUUGGUUUCUGACACGUCCAUCAACCGCCAGCACUCACCCCUCCUCCCUGCGCGUUCACCAACUCGUGAACUUGACCGACCCCGCCCCCAUCAUUCACGCACACGCGACAAGGCUCAUCAUCACUCGGCUAGUAGCAAGGUAACGAGAGUUAGCAGCAGGCUGAGCUACUUGAAAACUUUGGUGGCUUUUGCAGAGCUACAGGAAGAACUUUGGCUUUUGGAACACUGGACUAACCAUGUCAGGAUAACAUACUCCCUUGGAUUAUAGUCAUAUCGGACUCGCAAGACCAGACUCCAACACGGGCUGAAAAUUUGAAAUGGGACCUGACACUCUUGGACACAGAUGUCGGCUACGGCAGCGGCUUCAAAUACGCUUUGGUGACCAUAUUUCUAAUCGAGAGUUGUGCGAACGAGCCAGACAAACCAGCUGGGAGGAGGACGGAAGCACCCCUUCUCCAUCCGCGUUCAGUUGCUAAAGAUUCACCCCGUAGUCAACAGCAGACAGGGUCCUUCCACAACCACAUACUUAUGCCAGUAAAAGCCACAGCUUUUCUCCUCCAAUCCAAGAAGCCUGGACUGCAGUCACCAUCUCAACACACCAACCAAGAGAAAGGCGGAUGGCUCAAUUCAAUAUGGAAAAUUGCACAAUAAAAGUUCCAGGACAUGAAGGCUGCAUACUGUGAACGUCAACCUUCAGGGCACCGUCCUGCGCAGAAGACUUUCUACCCUAAGAGGGAUGGCUGACCGCAGACACUCACAACCAGCACAGACGCCUCCAACCUCAGACUAGGCCCUUCACAGUUGCUGCACUUACCCACCUUCCCAGAGUUUUUGUGUGAUUGCGCAGAGGCGCCAGGUUGGUUGUGCUACUGGGCUGUGACUGAGGACCAGAUGUCAUGUGCCAGGUCGAACAUCAAACUGGG